Long non-coding RNA from Rhipicephalus microplus (southern cattle tick), 1364 nucleotides. RefSeq lists it as uncharacterized. The record is from RefSeq and is a predicted model, not a curated record. NCBI's taxonomy places the organism in Eukaryota, Metazoa, Arthropoda, Arachnida, Ixodida, Ixodidae.
AUGGGUGCUUGUUACGACAAGAACGUCGUUAUUGUGUACUCGUAUGAAACGACCGUUUUCAACAGUGAUUUGCGACGCCAAGGCGUGUAUUCGUUGAGGUAUUCUGAUGGGCUAACCUGUGGUUGCGUGAAGUCGGAUAAUAUGUUACCAGAAGGUUGCGCAAGGUUUCGUUAACUUCACUGCUUGGAGUCACCAUUGUAUCGGAGCUCUCCCACCAAGCUGACCUCGGAACAAUUUUUGUAGAUUCCGCUACGAGAUUCCAGCCACACACCGGUUGACCCCAAAUCCUCAAUGCCUGAACCAUUUGGCCUUUCCAGCUGUGGCUGUUCGGAUGAGUGUGCGCCUUGCUCGGAAACAUCCGGCCAGGAAAACCAAGUACGAGGACAUGUUUUGCUGAAGCUUUCUUGUUUUCCAAACCAUCUCACUGAUGCCUAAAGAGAAAGGUGUGUUCAAUGAAGACCACCGCCUUCAUCAAGCGACUAAAGAAUUAUGCACAAAGGUUUCGUAAAUCAACAAGAUAAAAAAAAACACCAAAUAAAGUACUACAUGGGAAGCGCUCGACAAGUCCUGAGCUAUACAAACUCUUGGGUAGCCAAGUGGCACUCCAUUGUCGCAAGAGAAAAGGAAGGAGGUGGUCUCGAGAGGUGAAGGAAUUGGCCUUGAAUAUGUAUUUCGACGGGCAAAGUUAUUACCGCCAACUCACGAAAGCAAUCACUUUGCCAUCACCGAGGUCCCUUCAAAGGUGGUUAUCUGAAAUUCCAAUAACACCCGGAAUUAUUUCGAAUGUAUUAGACAGUCUUAAAGAAGCAGCAAAAAAAUGUCUAAUAGAAGAUCAGGCAGGCGUAAUUGCAAUUUGACGAAAUGUCAGUGAGACCAAAAUUAUAGUAAGACACAGCACAUGACGCCUUCAUUGGACUUUCAGUUGAUGGCUCAGAGAGGGCAACAACGGUGGCAAAUGUAGCGCUUGUAGCACUCCUUUCAGGAUUUUAGUGAUCGUGGGUGAUGCCAGUGGCAUUCGCUGUUGCCAAAACUGCUCUACGUGCGGAAAAGAUCCAGAGACUGCUACUAGUAUUGAUAGCGCAACUUGCAGAAUGCGAGGUGUAUGCUAAACCUGGCUGUGCGAUCAGGGGUCAAGUAAUAAUAAAUACUUCGAUGAAUUGGCAGCCACACCACAAAUUUCAUACUUUGAAGUGAACGGACACGAAAAUUAUUCUUCGACACUCCACCACCUAUUGAAGUGCCAAAGAAAUGACCUUCGAGCUCCUCACAAGCUUUAUAUUGGCACCAAAAUUGUGGACUGGAGUGACAAUCGCGAACUGUUCGAGUGCUCUGACCCGCUUAGAAUAAAAUUGGUGAAAAAUUAA